RNAcentral lists this ribosomal RNA (200 nucleotides) under uncultured bacterium. RNAcentral's name for it is "partial 16S ribosomal RNA". It matches the Rfam family "Bacterial small subunit ribosomal RNA", at positions 8 to 222 of the family's 1533-position model. The record is from RNAcentral.
AGAGUUUGAUCCUGGCUCAGGAUAAACGCUGGCGGCGUGCCUAACACAUGCAAGUCGAACGCGCUUCGCAAGAAGCGAGUGGCGGACGGGUGAGUAACACGUGGGUAUCUACCUUUUAGUGAGGGAUACCGGCGAGAAAUCGCCGACAAUCCCGCAUAGGCUCGGCAACGAGCAAAGCUCCUUUUCGGAGGGGCGCUGAA